Molecule: long non-coding RNA, 1601 nt
Organism: Myotis myotis
Lineage: Eukaryota; Metazoa; Chordata; Mammalia; Chiroptera; Vespertilionidae
Exons: 2
Source: RefSeq, a predicted model, not a curated record
CCCGCCCCGGGAGCGGCGCAGGGCGGGCCCGGGACCCGAGGGGGUCUCCGUUGAGUUCACGGAGGGCCCCGGAGGCUGACGUGCCGAGAAGCGCGGGACAUGAUCCCACGAUUACAGGGAAGGGAAUCGGAACCGGAGAUCCUGGGGAAACGGCCCGUGUCGGGGUUUGGCCUGUGUCACUGGUUAAGAAAUAACUCUCUAGAUUUAAACUUUUUUUUCUUCUUCAUGACCUACCCUUGGCGCUUAGUAGGUAUCUAUGUGUGUGUGUGUGUGUGUGUGUGUGUGUGUGUGUGUAUUGUUCUCAUUGAUUUCGGAGAGGAAGGGAGAGGGAUAGAGAGAGAAACAUCAGUGAGGAGGGAGAAUCAUUGAUUGGCUGCCCCUGCACGCCCCACGCAUGUGCCCUUGACCGGAAUCGAACCCAGGACCCUUCAGGACACAGACCGGGGCUCUAGCCACUGAGCCAAACCCGCUAGGGCCGAAACCACUGUAUUUUAAAGGGAGGAACAGUCUAAGAGAUUACUACUGUGAACUGAUCAACAAAGAGCUUGUUCCUCACGUCACCUUUGUGCAGAGGAAGCAGGUAGAGCCAAGGGUGAGUGAAGCCUGCCCAGGUGACUAGAGCCAGGGAGGGGCUGGGAGUUGCAGGCGCAGCCUGAUGCAUCCUCUUCUCUGCUGAUCCCCAGUUUUCAUUUCUUAUAGAUUGCUCUGCCCUGUCCACAGGAGAAGCAGCAGAUGACUGCUUACCAAAAUGGUCGAGAGUUGAAUUGUUAGGCUUCCAGUAAACUUGCUUUUGUGUGUUCUUUGGGGGGCUUCCGCUUGUGAUGGUUUUAUGUCACUAAGUCAGCAAUCUUCCGUUAGCAAGUGUGACCCUAUAGAAGUCACAAAAAUGCAUCAGUUGUCCUUUUUUAAGGAAUUCAGAAUAUCACAGAAGAGGUACAGUAGUAGUGACAAUUCAGAAUAGAGCAGCACGACUUGGAUAAGAGCUGUUAUAACAAGAAGUUCAGGAGGGGCUCCCCGAGGCUGCAGGAUCAGGAAACGCUGAAAGCUCGGCCCGUGCGCAGGCGUCUGAGGAUCACCUGUAUUACCUUCCUCUCUGGAGGAGGAGCGUCAGCCUCCUGAGCUCACCGCCUCCUACACGGGCUGUAAACGAUUGCUUGCCACCUUCUCAGUGAUUAUGUUUCUCUUUGUACUUUGGGGUAACCUGCCACCAAUAAAACAUGUCCUGGAGUUAUUUUCUGAGUCUUGGGAAUGAGGCGAUUCACAUACUCCCGGUUGACUGGCCUACAUUGUAAAGCGGGUGAUUCAGAUCAAUGUCAGUUGCUGGGACAGUCUCGGGUGUAGUCGCUCAAACACAGACUCUUCAUUUGUCGUAGUUCCCGAUUAUGUGCUUUUCAUAUUUUCGUGGCUACUAAUGACUUUUUAUAAAAUAAGCAUAGGCAGUCCUGUGGUGAUGUUUGUAGGUUGUCAAUAAACAAUGUUCUUCCUGUUUUUAUUUUUUAAUAUAUUUUUAUUGAUAUUCUUCCUGUUUUUAAAUAGUAUCUGUACAUCUUCAAAGUCUUAAUAGAAAAUAAACACACUUUCUAGAACUCUUCAAAUAAGGA